UCCCAGACUCCUACGGGAGGCAGCAGUGGGGGAUAUUGCACAAUGGGGGGAACCCUGAUGCAGCGACGCCGCGUGGGUGAAGAAGCGCCUCGGCGCGUAAAGCCCUGUCAGCAGGGAAGAAAAUGACGGUACCUGACUAAGAAGCCCCGGCUAACUACGUGCCAGCAGCCGCGGUAAUACGUAGGGGGCAAGCGUUAUCCGGAUUUACUGGGUGUAAAGGGAGCGUAGACGGCGAUGCAAGUCUGAAGUGAAAGGCGGGGGCCCAACCCCCGGACUGCUCUGGAAACUGCGUCGCUGGAGUGCAGGAGGGGCAGGCGGAAUUCCUGGUGUAGCGGUGAAAUGCGUAGAUAUCAGGAGGAACACCGGUGGCGAAGGCGGCCUGCUGGACUGCAACUGACGUUGAGGCCCGAAAGCGUGGGGAGCAAACAGGAUUAGAUACCCCGGUAG
RNAcentral lists this ribosomal RNA (447 nucleotides) under uncultured bacterium. RNAcentral describes it as "bacterial SSU rRNA". It matches the Rfam family "Bacterial small subunit ribosomal RNA", at positions 329 to 793 of the family's 1533-position model. The record is from RNAcentral.